CAAGCAGUGCCACGGUAUUUGGGUAGAUGCGGUUGAGUCCUUUUCCUGGAAGUCGGUCAGCUGAAAAACAAUGUAAAUUCCCGGUUUUGAAGACUUAUUGCUCUCAAAUCUGAUGGCUUUUAAACGGAGGGGCCGGAAUAUCACAGAAGCCUUGGGAACAGCAAAGUCAAAAGAAUGGUACUUUUAAAAAUGGUGUCUUUGCUGUAAGGAGCAGAGCAUAUUCAAAACUCAUGGGAGCAUCUCAGGUCUCAGGCCAAAUCAUUCAGCCUGUCUUCACACAGCCUGAGUACAGUUAUUUAUAUAAAAACUGUUUCUCUUGUGCCAUCACUUUUUCACUGUGUGUCAUCAGUUUUUGUUUGGAAUUUGGCAUUAUUUCUAUAGAGUUUUGUUCUCCUUCCUUAUACAUGUCAUCCAUAUAUUUAUCCAUUCUUUCCUUUAUUUUACUUUGAUCAAAGUAUGAGUGUUUUGUCUGAUUCUGCCUUUGCAAAUUUAAAAACUGCUCUAAAAAUUAUUCUUGUGCAUUCCAAAAAUUCGAACAGAAGAAUAAAAUUCUAAAUUCACCUAGAAACCUACUACCAAGAUAUAGCUCCCGGGAGCUCUGUUUUCACGCUACUAAAUCUUGCAACUGCACUCUUCUGGUCCGUGUUUAUUACGGCUGGAGCUGAGCUUUCACUCGCCCUGCACCACUGCUGCUGGCUGCCGUCACAGACCCGCCACUGACUUCCAUCCCUCCGGAUGCGGCAGGGUGUCCGCUGUGCUCCUGAUCCAGUGAGGCGCCCAAUGCCCCUCCCAAUCGGGCUAAAGGCUUGCCAUUGUUCCUGCACGGCUAAGUGCCUGGGUUUGACCUAAUCAAGCUGAACAUUAGUCACUGGAUUCCACGCUUCUCUGAUUUCUUCAGAAGAUGAAAUAGAUCAUCUGCCUUAAGGUUCUGGACCAGUGUAUGCAACACAAUAAACGUUCAGGAAAUGGUUGCUAUGAUGAUGACGACGAUGAUUAUGACAACAAUGAUGAUGAUGAAAUGAGUUGGCUUCAGCCCAGAGCAGAAUAUGUUCCCUAAUAAAGUAUGAGGAUGUCAGCACAUGCCAUUUGUGUCCCACCCAAAGCUGCAAACUUACUUAAAGUUUAUCUGUAGCUUCAGGGGACAAUUUCCAUAAUGACUGAUGGCAUUUUACCCUGGGUGUGGAUCUUCAGGAGGUUGCCUCUCCCUGGCUGCAGAAUUAUCAUUUUUAGAGAAGCAGUGUGAUAAUCGUGGAACCAUCCCCUACAUUCCU
Molecule: long non-coding RNA, 1271 nt
Filed under: Homo sapiens (human)
Lineage: Eukaryota; Metazoa; Chordata; Mammalia; Primates; Hominidae
Description: long non-coding RNA NONHSAT160152.1
Source: RNAcentral